ACGCUGGCGGCGUGCCUAAUACAUGCAAGUCGAGCGGACAGAAGGGAGCUUGCUCCCGGAUGUUAGCGGCGGACGGGUGAGUAACACGUGGGUAACCUGCCUGUAAGACUGGGAUAACUCCGGGAAACCGGAGCUAAUACCGGAUAGUUCCUUGAACCGCAUGGUUCAAGGAUGAAAGACGGUUUCGGCUGUCACUUACAGAUGGACCCGCGGCGCAUUAGCUAGUUGGUGAGGUAACGGCUCACCAAGGCGACGAUGCGUAGCCGACCUGAGAGGGUGAUCGGCCACACUGGGACUGAGACACGGCCCAGACUCCUACGGGAGGCAGCAGUAGGGAAUCUUCCGCAAUGGACGAAAGUCUGACGGAGCAACGCCGCGUGAGUGAUGAAGGUUUUCGGAUCGUAAAGCUCUGUUGUUAGGGAAGAACAAGUGCAAGAGUAACUGCUUGCACCUUGACGGUACCUAACCAGAAAGCCACGGCUAACUACGUGCCAGCAGCCGCGGUAAUACGUAGGUGGCAAGCGUUGUCCGGAAUUAUUGGGCGUAAAGGGCUCGCAGGCGGUUUCUUAAGUCUGAUGUGAAAGCCCCCGGCUCAACCGGGGAGGGUCAUUGGAAACUGGGAAACUUGAGUGCAGAAGAGGAGAGUGGAAUUCCACGUGUAGCGGUGAAAUGCGUAGAGAUGUGGAGGAACACCAGUGGCGAAGGCGACUCUCUGGUCUGUAACUGACGCUGAGGAGCGAAAGCGUGGGGAGCGAACAGGAUUAGAUACCCUGGUAGUCCACGCCGUAAACGAUGAGUGCUAAGUGUUAGGGGGUUUCCGCCCCUUAGUGCUGCAGCUAACGCAUUAAGCACUCCGCCUGGGGAGUACGGUCGCAAGACUGAAACUCAAAGGAAUUGACGGGGGCCCGCACAAGCGGUGGA
This 921-nucleotide ribosomal RNA is filed under the name Bacillus altitudinis. Its description in RNAcentral is "bacterial SSU rRNA". It matches the Rfam family "Bacterial small subunit ribosomal RNA", at positions 33 to 936 of the family's 1533-position model. The record is from RNAcentral. Lineage: Bacteria; Bacillati; Bacillota; Bacilli; Caryophanales; Bacillaceae.